CGUAGGGUGAGUAAUGCAUUGAUAACCUACCUUUGAGAUGGGAACAACAACGUUCCAAGUAAUUGGGGCUACCGAAAGGGUUGCUAAUUCUCAAUAAAAAUGCUGACACUUUGGUGUCGGCAGUCAAAGAUGUGGAUCUGAAAAGGUCCAUUUGCUCAGAGAGGGGUCAAUGUCCUAUCAGCUAGUUGGUAGGGUAAUGGCCUACCAAGGCGAAGACGGGUAGCCGGCCUGAGAGGGUGGUCGGCCACACUGGGACUGAGACACUGCCCAGACUCCUACGGGAGGCUGCAGUCGAGAAUCUUUCGCAAUGCCCGAAAGGGUGACGAAGCGACGCCGCGUGUGGGAUGAAGGCCUUCGGGUUGUAAACCACUGUCGGGAGUUAAGAAUUGUAGGAAUGCUAAUAGUAUUUCUACUUGACUAAGGCUCCGGAGGAAGCCACGGCUAACUCUGUGCCAGCAGCCGCGGUAAUACAGAGGCGGCAAGCGUUGUUCGGAAUUAUUGGGCGUAAAGAGCAUGUAGGCGGCUAUGUAAGUCGGUUGUGAAAGCCUUCCGCUUAACGGAAGAAUGGCGGUCGAAACUGCAUGGCUUGAGUGCGGGAGGGGAGAGUGGAACUUCUGGUGGAGCGGUGAAAUGCGUAGAUAUCAGAAGGAACGUCGGCGGCGAAAGCGACUCUCUAGACCGUAACUGACGCUGAGUGUGC
Molecule: ribosomal RNA, 700 nt
Filed under: uncultured bacterium
Lineage: Bacteria
Description: bacterial SSU rRNA
Rfam family: Bacterial small subunit ribosomal RNA
Source: RNAcentral